Molecule: transfer RNA, 103 nt
Organism: Hypholoma sublateritium FD-334 SS-4
Lineage: Eukaryota; Fungi; Basidiomycota; Agaricomycetes; Agaricales; Strophariaceae
Rfam family: tRNA
About the family: Transfer RNA (tRNA) molecules are approximately 80 nucleotides in length.
Source: Rfam
GCCUCCUUGGCUCAGUUGGCUAGAGCGCAGGUCUCAUAUCUGAAAUAUGAGUAACGAACGUUAUGUAAUCCUGAGGUCGCAAGUUCGAGCCUUGCAGGGGGCA